CUAUAGAGAGCCUUUCUUACUGCUGCACUGACUGCCUUGAUUUUCAUCAUGUCAUACUGUGACCAUGCAAAGCAGGCAAAGGCGGGGGAAGUAGAACAGAAAGAACCACAUCAAAUAAUGAGGAAAAGGCCUGAGGUGCGGAGGAGGUGCCUGGGAAAGCAAUUCGCCGCUGCAGUGCACAUCCGGAUGGAGGCUGCUCCAGAUGGCUUCUCAAGUUCAGCCCCAAGGCCUGGCGAGUGACCACUGCCACAGAUCUCCAUUCAUGUGUCUCAGUAGCCCCUUUUUUCCUACCUACCACAAAGUGCUCUCAGUGAGCCCUAGGGUGUCUGGCUGGGAGCAUAUGAAGAUGGAGUUCUCAGAAAAGAGCAAGAGGAAAGAUCAACCUCAGCAGGUGCAGUGAACUACUAUGGACUACAUAUUAUGCUAAGUGUUGGGGAAGAUGAGGAAGAUAAAUAUCUGAUCUUAGGAUCUGAAGUAUAGAAAAAGAGGCAGUUAUAUAAGAGAAAAUUAAUCACAGUAGACAAUGAGACAUUACUGCAUAAUUUCAUUUAUAUGCCAUUUUGGGAAAAGACAAACUAGAGAUGAAAAAUGGGGUGAUUGGCAGGAAUUGGGGGCAGGGAUUGUGAAGGCUUUGGGAGAUAAUGAAAUGUACGCUAAAAAGAGUGAAUUUUACUGAAUGUAUUACAACUCAAUAUUUAUAACGGAAAAUAAAUCACAAUAGAACAUGUUAGGUGUUGUAAUGGUGUGAUGCACAAAAAUACACAAAGGAAGAAGCAGCUGGGUCUUCUUAAGAGUAGGAGAAGGGGAUCAGGAGAAGGGAACACUGGGCUUGUGGUUCUGCAGAUGACAGGAAGGAGAGGACAUUCCAAGCCGAGAGACCGGCAUACACAAAGGUACACAGUUCUAAAAGUCUGUAUUCAGUCAACUGCCCUUCACUUGCUACAGCUGGUGCAGUCACAGGAG
Molecule: long non-coding RNA, 963 nt
Filed under: Heterocephalus glaber (naked mole-rat)
Lineage: Eukaryota; Metazoa; Chordata; Mammalia; Rodentia; Bathyergidae
Description: lncRNA (ENSHGLG00000032010.1)
Source: RNAcentral